UUACUUUUAAGUAUUUGAUGUUUCUCGAUAGAAUAGGGUUGAUGUAGGUAUACACAAAUAGCUUAGUCAUUAUAUAAGUUCUCGCUUAUUGAUACAAUGCCUCGCUAGUAAUUUUUCUCUCUUUCUUCUCUCCUUAGUUACACAGUAGAUUUAGAGUAGACUAUAAUGCUUAUUUGAAAUAGAACAAAAAUAUUGAUGGUGGUUCGAUCAAAGUAUGUUCUUUCCAAGAUGAUAUAGUUGUGUAUUUAAACUCUGUGAGGUCUUCUUGUCUUGUAAGUCUUGAGAGAUUGCAAACCCAAGGGAGUUGAUCUCAGAAAUGAAUCACUAAUUGAUUCUUUCUAAGAAUAAGAUAUUGCUUUUGUUGAUUUUCCUUGACUUGUGCUCUUGAUUGGAUUUUUCCUUUGCUGAGCAGAUUUUCCCGCUAUUUGAAGUAUCAAAUCAGAUUCCUUGAUUCCGACUUUUGAUCUUCGUCCUUAGAUGGAGGAAUCUAUCACGCCCCAACCUGGGGAAGCGUGGUUGGCACCAGGUGUUGCAUUGGCCGGAAUGAACCACUCUAUAACUUUUUUUAUAACUAUCAUGGGCCAACAUGAUCACAACUUGUAAUGUAUAACCAUAAGUGGGCAAAUGAUGUAUCAAUUAUUGUCCAUGUAGUCUAAAGAUAUCAGAUGUACAAGUACUUUUAGGAUACCUUUAAAUAAAUGAUUAUAAAUUCUUUGAAUAUACAUAAUAAGAUAUGAUGCAGAAGAAAAAUAAAAAAAUAGACAAUCCAAAGUAAUCACUUUUGCUAACUCUUCACGAUCCUUCAUUUUGUCAUAUUUCAUAAGCCCUCAAGUACUAACGUUUAGAGUUCCUUAAUUUUCAUCUAAAUGAUAACCACAUUCUAUAGGAUGAGUAAUUCUCAUGUGUAUACUAAGUGUCCCAGUCCCCUCUCCAGUUUUAUGUUUAAAUCAUCUGUACAAAUUUUGCAUCUAACUCUAUCAGAAUUCUCUAUUUCCUCAAAAAAACUUUCAAACCUUACUUUCUUUUUCUCUAAUUAGUAGUCGGGGCCACAUGUGGUCUGCUACUAGUACCACAACCACCACCCCUGCUACCAACUCCAACACUACUAAAUCUCAGUGGUGUCUUAUCUUCAAUUUCUAAUUCAUUAUCUUCUGUACCGAAAUCUUUCUAUAAUUGUUCAUAAUCUAUAUUAUUAUUAGGUGAUGUAUUAGAAAUAUAUGUAAAGUUAUUUACAUUAUCACUAGAUGCUGAAGCAAUGCCUCUUUUUCUAUUUCCGAUUAGCCCAAUUAGUAACCUUAUUACAAACUCUUUUUGCAGUAUUAAAUAUAUUGUAAAAAUUUAACUACUAACAAAAAUUAAAUAUGCAAAUAAACUACUUAGUAAAUAAGAGAAAAAGUUGGAGGGAAUGCACUGAAUUCCUCAAUAAUUGAACAGUUGAUGAUUUCUGCAACGCCAAUGUUAGUACAAAGAAAUGUCAAUUAUUCAAAGUUUGAAGUUGAAAAUUCAAAUAAUAAACAAUACGAUAAAUUAAAUUUCAAAAACAAAUGAGAGCCAGUUGAUUGCAAUUUAGGUGAAGAAUGAGAGAAUAACAAUUGAGAAUUUGAGGUUGAGAAAUGAG
RNAcentral lists this long non-coding RNA (1618 nucleotides) under Nicotiana benthamiana. Its description in RNAcentral is "long non-coding RNA (NBEN_LNC017298)". Lineage: Eukaryota; Viridiplantae; Streptophyta; Magnoliopsida; Solanales; Solanaceae. The record is from RNAcentral.